GUGCUCACUUCGACAGCAUGUAUACUAAAAUUAGAACCAUACAGAGAAGAUUAGCGUGGCCCCAGUGCAAGGAUGACACGUAAAUUCAUGAAGUGUUCCAUAUUUUA
Molecule: small nuclear RNA, 107 nt
Organism: Gorilla gorilla gorilla (western lowland gorilla)
Lineage: Eukaryota; Metazoa; Chordata; Mammalia; Primates; Hominidae
Source: Ensembl